RNAcentral lists this ribosomal RNA (464 nucleotides) under uncultured bacterium. RNAcentral describes it as "partial 16S ribosomal RNA". It matches the Rfam family "Bacterial small subunit ribosomal RNA", at positions 339 to 795 of the family's 1533-position model. The record is from RNAcentral.
CUACGGGGCGCUGCAGUGGGGAAUAUUGCACAAUGGGCGCAAGCCUGAUGCAGCCAUGCCGCGUGUAUGAAGAAGGCCUUUGGGUUGUAAAGUACUUUCAGCGGGGAGGAAGGGAGUAAAGUUAAUACCUUUGCUCAUUGACGUUACCCGCAGAAGAGGCACCGGCUAACUCCGUGCCAGCAGCCGCGGUAAUACGGAGGGUGCAAGCGUUAAUCGGAAUUACUGGGCGUAAAGCGCACGCAGGCGGUUUGUUAAGUCAGAUGUGAAAUCCCCGGGCUCAACCUGGGAACUGCAUCUGAUACUGGCAAGCUUGAGUCUCGUAGAGGGGGGUAGAAUUCCAGGUGUAGCGGUGAAAUGCGUAGAGAUCUGGAGGAAUACCGGUGGCGAAGGCGGCCCCCUGGACGAAGACUGACGCUCAGGUGCGAAAGCGUGGGGAGCAAACAGGAUUAGAUACCCUAGUAGUC